RNAcentral lists this long non-coding RNA (945 nucleotides) under Calidris pugnax (ruff). Its description in RNAcentral is "lncRNA (ENSCPUG00000001775.1)". The record is from RNAcentral. Lineage: Eukaryota; Metazoa; Chordata; Aves; Charadriiformes; Scolopacidae.
ACCUAGAUUAAUGCUGUCUGCUCUGUGUUACCAGGUCCUGGACCAUUAGACUUGGCUGCUCAAUGUGUGCUGCUCCAGUCCUUGACCUUGCACAGAUGCGUUCCUUGGGUUCUGCACUGAGACCAUGGAUCUUCUGAGCCACCUCCAGCACGGCAUUUGCAUGGGACUGCAAGUGCAACUCUCCUGCUGCAAAGUGCGUGCCCGCUUAAUCAGCUAAAGGAGCAAUAUUGUGCAAAGUGCCCCCCACCCAACAGGCUGCUCUGCAACAGGAAUCAAUCAGGUCCCAACUUUCCAGCUGAGGUGUAGAACCUGGUAACACCCUGCAUCUUGUGACCAGCUGCCCUCACUCAGCAGUGAUGGGAAUGUCCUUGAGUCUUUAUGGACCUGUUCCUGCAAUGCAGCUUUUCAGCUGGUGAGGAGACCUUGCAGUGAUGCAUCAAGUGGAGCUGCGUUGUGCUGCAAAACCACGAGAAGAGCAUCAAGACUCCCUUAGAAAAAAGGUAGAAAUAAAGAACUUUGAAGAUUUUAGUCAGUGAAGAUCUUCCAGCUCAAUCAGCAAAGAUCUCUGCAUCACUACCAUCUGCUCAGGGAAAAGAGAUCGCCCCUACGGCACUUCUGGAGUUCGCUCGGCGAAGCGGCGGCAGCGGCAAGAACCGAGGUGAGCCCGGGGAGAGGGUUGGAUCCCGCUGUACAGAGGGGUUUCCGAGCUCAGGGACCCCCAGCUCACAGCCCCAGCCCCAGCGGGAACCCGGAAGCCCGCAACAACCAAUCAGGAGCGGAGGGGGCGUGGCCAGGACUCGCGGAGAUUUAAACGCGGCCGGAGCAGGCCCUCAGGCGCGCGGCGGAGCGGCGGUAGCGGCCUCACAGGAGUGCGGCGCGUGACAGGUGAGUUCAGGCAGGCCCGGCCUUCUCAAUAACGAGAGCUGAGCAGUGUGCGCAACUUCG